AGAAUCAACGCUGGCGGCGUGCCUCAGACAUGCAAGUCGAACGAUUAAAGCUCUCUUCGGAGAGUGUAUAGAGUGGCGCACGGGUGAGUAACACGUAAGUAAUCUACCUUCGAGUGGGGAAUAACCCGGGGAAACCCGAGCUAAUACCGCAUAAUGCAGCGGCAUCGCAAGAUGACAGUUGUUAAAGGAUUUAUUUCGCUUGAAGAGGAGCUUGCGGCAGAUUAGCUUGUUGGUAAGGUAACGGCUUACCAAGGCUACGAUCUGUAUCCGGUCUAAGAGGACGGUCGGACGACACUGACACUGAAUAACGGGUCAGACUCCUACGGGAGGCAGCAGUCGGGAAUUUUGGGCAAGUGGGCGAAAGCCUGACCCAGCAACGCCGCGUGAAGGAUGAAGUAUUUCGGUAUUGUAAACUUCGAAAGAAUAGGAAGAAUAAAUAGACGGUACUAAUUUAAUAAGUCUCCGGUACUAACUACGUA
This 479-nucleotide ribosomal RNA is filed under the name uncultured soil bacterium. RNAcentral's name for it is "bacterial SSU rRNA". It matches the Rfam family "Bacterial small subunit ribosomal RNA", at positions 26 to 507 of the family's 1533-position model. The record is from RNAcentral.